RNAcentral lists this long non-coding RNA (921 nucleotides) under Helianthus annuus (common sunflower). RNAcentral describes it as "hypothetical non coding rna". The record is from RNAcentral. Lineage: Eukaryota; Viridiplantae; Streptophyta; Magnoliopsida; Asterales; Asteraceae.
ACACUUUCCCUACAAAAAAGAAGGUUACUUCUCUUCCUUCUCACAUAAUACAUCUGCUCCCUCUCUAGCACUUAUAACUAUCUUUACCAUACAAGAUACUGACUUGAGCGUCGGAGUGCCCUCGGGGUGAACCCCCUCGGGCCCUCUAACUAGAGUUUCAUGUGGCUGCAGUUCAAGACCCGACAUCCCGCAAGAGGAACCGUCACCAUGACGACAAGAUGACGAACCUGAACCGGAGCUCACCGAAUCUAAGAAAAAUUUAGAGAGAGAAACAGUUUAGAGAGAGAUUCAGAGAGAGUGAGAUCGGAACAGAGAGAUGAUCGGAGAAGGUGGUGAAGAAUGUGGGCGUUGGAGUUAGCGUCAGUUGUUUAGGUUAACGGAGAUGAUGGUGUUUCCAAUGAUUCCGGUUAUGGAGGUAAAUGGGGAUAGUAGGGAUUGUUAAUUUGACGGUGAAGAUGAACGGCGACGAUGAUUGACAAAUCACGAUGGUUCCGACGACAGAAGAUAUGAAAUCCGGUGACUGAUGAGUUCCCUGACGACCACCGAUAGAUUGAAGGUUACUAAAAGGUGUGUAGGACGGUGAUUAAUUCACUCCGGCUACCGGCAUACGCUAGAGAGAUAGAUGAGCAUAAAAGGACACUGCUCCUGAUUAACAAGGCGGAUCUUUUGCCAUAUUCCGUGAGACUGAAAUGGGCCGAGUACUUCCAGCUUCAUGGUAUUCUGUAUCUCUUUUGGAGGACUCCGGUGGUGGGGGUGAGACGGUGGUGGUGGGUGUUUGGAGGUGGCGGUAGUGCGAUGGUGGUAGCAGUGGUGGGGAUGAUGGUGGGGCGAUGGUGGGGAUGGUGGUUGUGCGGUGGUGUUUAGAAAGAGAGAAGAGACUUGUACUGAUGUGCAUAUAAGACUUGUACUUUGUGUGUAAAU